RNAcentral lists this small RNA (314 nucleotides) under Histoplasma ohiense. Its description in RNAcentral is "hypothetical lncRNA". Lineage: Eukaryota; Fungi; Ascomycota; Eurotiomycetes; Onygenales; Ajellomycetaceae. The record is from RNAcentral.
GCAGCUGUAUGGAGGAGUCUUGGGUUUUUUUUUGCUGCAUCUUCAUUCUUGGAGACACUGCCAUCAUCUACUGCGGAAGCUUUUGAGUGAUUCACAAGCGCUGCUCCGGAGACUCCAUGCAAUGCUGUAGCGUCACCCAGCGUCAACAGAUGUCCACGGCUAAGGCUGUUUUCCAGUCUAUACGGAUUGCUUUGAAGUAAUUCCUUUGAAGAGAUUCAUACAGAAAACUUCUCAAAUCAUAGAUAACUGUCACAGACAUCGAACUCAAAGAGGUUGAUGGUAAAAUCGAGGAUACUACUGAAAAUAAUGCAGGC